Molecule: ribosomal RNA, 251 nt
Filed under: uncultured prokaryote
Description: partial 16S rRNA
Rfam family: Bacterial small subunit ribosomal RNA
Source: RNAcentral
ACGGAGGGUGCGAGCGUUGUUCGGAAUUACUGGGCGUAAAGGGCGCGUAGGCGGCAGUGAUAGUCAGGUGUGAAAUCCUUCGGCUUAACCGGAGAACUGCAUCUGAAACUUCACAGCUAGAGUACAGGAGAGGGAAACGGAAUUCCCGGUGUAGAGGUGAAAUUCGUAGAUAUCGGGAGGAACACCAGUGGCGAAGGCGGUUUCCUGGCCUGAUACUGACGCUGAGGCGCGAAAGCGUGGGGAGCAAACAG